This 97-nucleotide microRNA precursor is filed under the name Python bivittatus (Burmese python). RNAcentral describes it as "microRNA pbv-mir-34a precursor". Its record names the gene pbv-mir-34a. The stretch from base 11 to 88 matches the Rfam family "mir-34 microRNA precursor family". From Rfam's summary of the family: Human mir-34a was discovered computationally and later experimentally verified. The mature sequence is excised from the 5' arm of the hairpin. The record is from miRBase by way of RNAcentral. Lineage: Eukaryota; Metazoa; Chordata; Lepidosauria; Squamata; Pythonidae.
CUCUGUGAGUGCUUCUUUGGCAGUGUCUUAGCUGGUUGUUGUGUGCGAUGAUUGAAGCAGCAAUCAGCAAGCAUACUGCUGCAGAAGUACUGCACGU